This 460-nucleotide ribosomal RNA is filed under the name uncultured bacterium. Its description in RNAcentral is "partial 16S ribosomal RNA". It matches the Rfam family "Bacterial small subunit ribosomal RNA", at positions 338 to 795 of the family's 1533-position model. The record is from RNAcentral.
CCUACGGGUGGCUGCAGUGAGGAAUAUUGGUCAAUGGGCUUACGCCUGAACCAGCCAAGUCGCGUGAGGGAAUAAUGCCCUACGGGUCGUAAACCUCUUUUGCCGGGGAGCAAGGGGCGCUACGUGUCGCGUCCCGGAGAGUACCCGGAGAAAAAGCAUCGGCUAACUCCGUGCCAGCAGCCGCGGUAAUACGGAGGAUGCGAGCGUUAUCCGGAUUUAUUGGGUUUAAAGGGUGCGUAGGCGGGCUGUCAAGUCAGCGGUAAAAAUGCGGGGCUCAACCCCGUUCGGCCGUUGAAACUGGGGGCCUUGAGUGGGCGAGAAGAAUGCGGAAUGCGUGGUGUAGCGGUGAAAUGCAUAGAUAUCACGCAGAACCCCGAUUGCGAAGGCGGCCUUCCGGCGCCCUACUGACGCUGAGGCACGAAAGUGCGGGGAUCGAACAGGAUUAGAUACCCGAGUAGUC